Humulus lupulus (European hop) is the source of this 568-nucleotide long non-coding RNA. RefSeq lists it as uncharacterized. Lineage: Eukaryota; Viridiplantae; Streptophyta; Magnoliopsida; Rosales; Cannabaceae. The transcript is spliced from 4 exons. The record is from RefSeq and is a predicted model, not a curated record.
UUUUAUUCUUAGAACUCUAUAAAUAGGACCUAGCACCAAGCAUUUUUCAUUCAUUCAUCAAGCUAAGUUCAGAGGCUGCAAGUUGCUAGGUUAUUGUGAGAGUGUAAACACUUGGGUUGGGGAUUAUAAGCUUAAUCAUUUUUAAGCUUACCAAACACUUGGGAAGUAAGGUUUAUAAUACAUUUCGGUUCAAGGUUUAGAUUGGUCAUAAAGCAUUCAAGGAAAUCUAAGUUCUUGAGCAUAAGGUUUUUGGAGUGUUCCAAGGUCCCAAAUCAGUUCUCAUAUCCCGAUUAUUUUGGAAAAUAGCUAUAGUGGCGGGAAAGGUUCUUGGAUGCUUGGGAAUGUGUAUUGAGGCGGAAUGGAUUCAAAGAGCCGAGAGUUUCGAUUUGAGGAUGAAGUCUUUAUUAUGGUUUUAUGUGUAUUUUUCCGCACUUAUGUAAUCUCUUUUUAUUACAAUUAAGUUAUGUUUUUCCUUUUUAAAACAAUGGGAUCCCAUAUCCUAACUUAAAUUUUAUGUAAGUUUGACCUUUGUUUUUACAAGUUUUAAUAAAGUUAUGAUCUUUUCAUU